RNAcentral lists this ribosomal RNA (266 nucleotides) under uncultured bacterium. RNAcentral's name for it is "partial 16S ribosomal RNA". It matches the Rfam family "Bacterial small subunit ribosomal RNA", at positions 793 to 1055 of the family's 1533-position model. The record is from RNAcentral.
GUCCACGCCCUAAACGAUGGAUACUAGGCGUAAGGGGUAUCGACCCCCUUGUGCCGCAGCUAACGCAUUAAGUAUCCCGCCUGGGGAGUACGGCCGCAAGGUUGAAACUCAAAUGAAUUGACGGGGACCCGCACAAGCGGUGGAGCAUGUGGAUUAAUUCGAUAAUAACCGAAGAACCUUACCCAGACUUGACAUCGAUUGAAAUCCCUAGAAAUAGGGCCCUCUCCCACAAGGAGACAUGAAGACACUUGUUGCAUGGCUGUCGU